UCCAACUUGAGGCCGAGGAACAGAAGAAACGUUUCUGUUUCUUAAGAGGCUGGAAUUAGCAAUUAUACUGUGAGUAUGCUGAGGAGAAAGCUAUCAAAUUUCUACCAAGGUAACAGAUAACCGGUACUGAAGAGACUGUUGCCAAGACAAAACUGCCAAAUUUCUACAUAGAUACCUGGACAAGAUGCAAACGUGCAAUGGGGACUGACAAGCAUAGAGAUGAGAAUGCCAAAUCAUGGUCAAACAAAUUUCACUUCACAUGCAUACCUCAUCUAUAUCCUUCCCAAAUUCAUCUUUGUAAU
Rhododendron vialii is the source of this 302-nucleotide long non-coding RNA. RefSeq lists it as uncharacterized. Lineage: Eukaryota; Viridiplantae; Streptophyta; Magnoliopsida; Ericales; Ericaceae. The transcript is spliced from 2 exons. The record is from RefSeq and is a predicted model, not a curated record.